This 450-nucleotide ribosomal RNA is filed under the name uncultured bacterium. RNAcentral's name for it is "bacterial SSU rRNA". It matches the Rfam family "Bacterial small subunit ribosomal RNA", at positions 329 to 794 of the family's 1533-position model. The record is from RNAcentral.
AGCCAGACUCCUACGGGAGGCAGCAGUGGGGAAUAUUGGGCAAUGGACGCAAGUCUGACCCAGCAACGCCGCGUGAAGGAAGAAGGCUUUCGGGUUGUAAACUUCUUUUAAGGGGGAAGAGCAGAAGACGGUACCCCUUGAAUAAGCCACGGCUAACUACGUGCCAGCAGCCGCGGUAAUACGUAGGUGGCGAGCGUUAUCCGGAUUUACUGGGUGUAAAGGGCGUGUAGGCGGGAGUGCAAGUCAGAUGUGAAAACUAUGGGCUCAACCCAUAGCCUGCAUUUGAAACUGUACUUCUUGAGUGCUGGAGAGGCAAUCGGAAUUCCGUGUGUAGCGGUGAAAUGCGUAGAUAUUAGGAGGAACACCAGUGGCGAAGGCGGCUUACUGGACUGUAACUGACGUUGAGGCUCGAAAGCGUGGGGAGCAAACAGGAUUAGAUACCCGGGUAGU